Molecule: ribosomal RNA, 1343 nt
Filed under: Junonia rhadama
Lineage: Eukaryota; Metazoa; Arthropoda; Insecta; Lepidoptera; Nymphalidae
Description: 16S ribosomal RNA
Source: RNAcentral
GGGAAAAAUUAAUAAUUUAAAUUUAAUAAAAAAAAUUUUAAUAUUAAAAAGAAAAAUGGGGGUUUGAGUAUUUUUAAUAGAAAAAAUUAAUAUUUUUAUAGUUAAAUAUUACUGUAAAGGAAUUUAUAAAUAGUUGAAAUAAAAUUAAUAAAAAAGUAAAUUUAAAUUAUUGUAUCUUGUGUAUCAGAGUUUAUUAAAUAAUAAUAAUUUAAUUAAAUAAAUCUCGAAUUUAAAAGAGUUAAUUAGUUAAAAAAGUUAAUGUUACAUAAUUAUUUUUAAUAACUAAUUAGAAAUGAAAUGUUAAUCGUUUUUAAAUAUAUCUAGUUUUUUCAGWAAAAAAUUUAAUUUUAAAUUUAAAUAAUUUUAUAAUUAUUUAAUUAAUUAUAAAAAUUUAAAUUUUAAUAUUUUAGGGGAUAAGCUUUAAAUUAAAAAUUUAUAAUUAAAAAAAUAAAUUAAAAUUAAAAUUUUUAAAAUUUAUAUUGUUUAAAAAUUAUAGUUUAUUAUAAAAAAUUUUAUUAAAAAAUAAAAUUUAAAAUAAGAUAAUUUAAAUUUUUAUGAAAAAAUAAUUUAUAAUUUAAUAAAAUUAGAAAUAAUGAUAAAAUUAGUAUAAUAUAAAAUAAAUUAAAAUGAAAAUUAUAAAUAAGUAAAUAAAAGGAAUUCGGCAAAAAUUUAUAUUCACUUGUUUAUCAAAAACAUGUCUUUUUGAUAAUAAUUUAAAGUCUAAUCUGCCCACUGAUAUUUUAUAUUAAAGGGCUGCAGUAUAUUGACUGUACAAAGGUAGCAUAAUCAUUAGUCUUUUAAUUGAAGACUUGUAUGAAAGAUUUGAUGAAAUAUAGACUGUCUCUAAUUUAUGGUUAGAAAUUAAUUUUUUAGUUAAAAAGCUAAAAUAAAGUUAAAAGACGAGAAGACCCUAUAGAGUUUUAUAUUUUAUUUAAUUAAUAUUAAAUAUAUAAAUAAAUAUAUUAAUUAAAUAAAAUAUUAUGUUGGGGUGAUAGAAAAAUUUAAAUAACUUUUUUUAAAUUUAAACAUAGAUAAGUGGUUAAUUGAUCCAUUAAUAAUGAUUAAAAGAAAAAAUUACCUUAGGGAUAACAGCGUAAUANUUUUUUUUUAGUACACAUAAAAAAAAAAAAGUUUGCGACCUCGAUGUUGGAUUAAGAUAAAAUUUAAAUGCAAAAGUUUAAAAUUUUGAUCUGUUCGAUCAUUAAAAUCUUACAUGAUCUGAGUUCAAACCGGUGUAAGCCAGGUUGGUUUCUAUCUUUAAUAAAAAUAAAUAUUUUAGUACGAAAGGAUCAAAUAUUUAAAAUAAUUUUAAAAAAAAAAUGAAUAUUAAUAAUAUAGUUUAU